RNAcentral lists this ribosomal RNA (607 nucleotides) under uncultured bacterium. Its description in RNAcentral is "bacterial SSU rRNA". It matches the Rfam family "Bacterial small subunit ribosomal RNA", at positions 331 to 929 of the family's 1533-position model. The record is from RNAcentral.
CCAGACUCCUACGGGAGGCAGCAGUGGGGAAUAUUGGACAAUGGGCGCAAGCCUGAUCCAGCCAUGCCGCGUGUGUGAAGAAGGCCUUAUGGUUGUAAAGCACUUUAAGCGAGGAGGAGGCUACUUUAGUUAAUACCUAGAGAUAGUGGACGUUACUCGCAGAAUAAGCACCGGCUAACUCUGUGCCAGCAGCCGCGGUAAUACAGAGGGUGCAAGCGUUAAUCGGAUUUACUGGGCGUAAAGCGCGCGUAGGCGGCUAAUUAAGUCAAAUGUGAAAUCCCCGAGCUUAACUUGGGAAUUGCAUUCGAUACUGGUUAGCUAGAGUGUGGGAGAGGAUGGUAGAAUUCCAGGUGUAGCGGUGAAAUGCGUAGAGAUCUGGAGGAAUACCGAUGGCGAAGGCAGCCAUCUGGCCUAACACUGACGCUGAGGUGCGAAAGCAUGGGGAGCAAACAGGAUUAGAUACCCUGGUAGUCCAUGCCGUAAACGAUGUCUACUAGCCGUUGGGGCCUUUGAGGCUUUAGUGGCGCAGCUAACGCGAUAAGUAGACCGCCUGGGGAGUACGGUCGCAAGACUAAAACUCAAAUGAAUUGACGGGGGCCCGCACAAG